This 417-nucleotide ribosomal RNA is filed under the name alpha proteobacterium BAL146. RNAcentral describes it as "bacterial SSU rRNA". It matches the Rfam family "Bacterial small subunit ribosomal RNA", at positions 32 to 495 of the family's 1533-position model. Lineage: Bacteria; Pseudomonadati; Pseudomonadota; Alphaproteobacteria. The record is from RNAcentral.
AACGCUGGCGGCAUGCCUAAUACAUGCAAGUCGAACGAGAUCUUCGGAUCUAGUGGCGCACGGGUGCGUAACGCGUGGGAAUCUGCCCUUGGGUUCGGAAUAACAGUUGGAAACGACUGCUAAUACCGGAUGAUGACGUAAGUCCAAAGAUUUAUCGCCCAGGGAUGAGCCCGCGUAGGAUUAGCUAGUUGGUGGGGUAAAGGCCUACCAAGGCGACGAUCCUUAGCUGGUCUGAGAGGAUGAUCAGCCACACUGGGACUGAGACACGGCCCAGACUCCUACGGGAGGCAGCAGUAGGGAAUAUUGGACAAUGGGGGCAACCCUGAUCCAGCAAUGCCGCGUGAGUGAUGAAGGCCUUAGGGUUGUAAAGCUCUUUUACCCGAGAUGAUAAUGACAGUAUCGGGAGAAUAAGCUCCG